Lathyrus oleraceus (garden pea) is the source of this 555-nucleotide long non-coding RNA. RefSeq lists it as uncharacterized. Lineage: Eukaryota; Viridiplantae; Streptophyta; Magnoliopsida; Fabales; Fabaceae. The transcript is spliced from 3 exons. The record is from RefSeq and is a predicted model, not a curated record.
UUUCAUGUGUCUCAGUUGAGGAGGUACAUUCAUGAUCCGUCGCAUGUAGUCCAAGUAGAUGAUGUACAGGUGAGAGAUAACCUGACUGUUGAAACAUCACCUAUGAGGAUCGAGGAUCGAGAGUUGAAGCAGUUGCGGGGUAAAGAGAUUGCCUUGGUGAAGGUAGCUUGGGGAGGACCAGCAGGUGGCAAUGUGACUUGGGAACUGGAGAGUAAGAUGAAGGAGUCUUACCCAGAGUUGUUCGCUUGAGAGAAGCGAUUGUGAAAGAGGAAAAGGGCAAAGAGGCAGAGCAAGAGGAAGAAGGUUGGAGAAGAGAAGAGCUUGGUGCUUGAGAUUCGCCGGAUUAACUCAGGUAACGAGAAAUGAGUUGAGUAGAAGCGAAUGCUUGGAGUCUAGUGUAAUCUCCUUAGUGGGUCAUGCUCUGAUAGAUGUAACAUCGGGAGGGAACCUUUGAAUUAUGUUGUUAAUGAUUGUUGAACCAGUUUACAUGUAGUAUGUUACAUGUUUUGAUUGAUUUGAUUUAUAUCCGCUGCGAUUUAUGCGAAUGUUUAAUUG